Molecule: transfer-messenger RNA, 76 nt
Filed under: Candidatus Liberibacter solanacearum CLso-ZC1
Lineage: Bacteria; Pseudomonadati; Pseudomonadota; Alphaproteobacteria; Hyphomicrobiales; Rhizobiaceae
Description: transfer-messenger RNA Liber_solan_CLsoZC
Rfam family: Alphaproteobacteria transfer-messenger RNA
About the family: Bacterial tmRNA, also known as 10Sa RNA or SsrA, is named for its dual tRNA and mRNA-like properties. Its role is to liberate the mRNA from a stalled ribosome.
Source: RNAcentral
GCCAUUUGGAUAUAGCGAUAAAUAGUCUGCGUAAUAAGCUUGUUGGACCCGGGGGCGGUACCCGGCGCCUCCACCA